GUAGGGUGCGAGCGUUAAUCGGAAUUACUGGGCGUAAGGCGUGCGCAGGCGGUUUUGUAAGACAGACGUGAAAUCCCCGGGCUUAACCUGAGAACUGCGUUUGUGACUGCAAGACUAGAGUGUAGCAGAGGGGGGUAGAAUUCCAUGUGUAGCGGUGAAAUGCGUAGAUAUAUGGAGGAAUACCGGUGGCGAAGGCGGCCUCCUGGCUCGAUACUGACGCUGAGGUGCGAAAGCGUGGGGAUCAAACAGGAUUAGAUACCCUGGUAGUCCACGCCGUAAACGAUGUCUACUAGCCGUUGGGAGACUUGAUUUCUUAGUGGCGCAGCUAACGCAAUAAGUAGACCGCCUGGGGAGUACGGCCGCAAGGUUA
This 370-nucleotide ribosomal RNA is filed under the name uncultured bacterium. Its description in RNAcentral is "bacterial SSU rRNA". It matches the Rfam family "Bacterial small subunit ribosomal RNA", at positions 527 to 896 of the family's 1533-position model. The record is from RNAcentral.